GGAGAGAUGGCCGAGCUGGCUGAAGGCGGCGGUUUGCUAAACCGUUAUAGUGCUGUAAAGGCGCUAUCGAGGGUUCGAAUCCCUCUCUCUCCGCCA
RNAcentral lists this transfer RNA (96 nucleotides) under Binatus sp. (SeqCode). RNAcentral's name for it is "tRNA-Ser". It matches the Rfam family "tRNA". Rfam says of the family: Transfer RNA (tRNA) molecules are approximately 80 nucleotides in length. Their secondary structure includes four short double-helical elements and three loops (D, anti-codon, and T loops). RNAcentral also lists the same sequence under 2 other names. Lineage: Bacteria; Candidatus Binatota; Binatia (SeqCode); Binatales (SeqCode); Binataceae (SeqCode). The record is from RNAcentral.